Molecule: unclassified non-coding RNA, 2632 nt
Filed under: Amphibalanus amphitrite
Lineage: Eukaryota; Metazoa; Arthropoda; Thecostraca; Balanomorpha; Balanidae
Description: orphan steroid hormone receptor 2-like, transcript variant X9
Source: RNAcentral
GCGCGGCGGACCGGCGGCGGGCGGUGGUGUGUCGCUCUGUUCCAGUGGUGGUAGGGCCGCGCCCGCCAGAGUAUGACCCGAAUGGCGGCCGCCGCGCCGGAGGUGUCGGUGAAGAGCGAGCCGCUGGAGGAGGCCGUGCUGGUGCAGAACGGAGACUCGGACGGAGAGGGAAGCGGCGAUGGAGCUGCGUCGGCGAUGGACGACUCGAUGAACGACAGCGUCAACGGCAACUCGAUCCUGGGCACCUCCCUCGCCAUGACGUCGAUGACGUCAUCACCCUUCAGCACGACGCUGCCCAACAUGUCCCUGACGGCCGACUGGGCGGCGCGGCUGAAGGAGCUGGACGCCGGCGCGCCCAUCACCGACCUGCUCACUGACCGGCUCACCACCUCCUCUGCCGCCGUCAACAUCGACAUGUGCGUGGUGUGCGGCGACCGCGCCUCGGGCCGACACUACGGCGCCAUCAGCUGCGAGGGCUGCAAGGGAUUCUUCAAGCGCUCCAUCCGCAAACAGCUGGGCUACCAAUGCCGCGGCACAAAGGACUGCGAGGUGACCAAGUACCACCGCAACCGCUGCCAGUACUGCCGACUGCAGAAGUGUCUAAAAAUGGGGAUGCGCAGCGACCUGAAGGACCUACGCAGCCAGGGCUACCAGCGCUACUACGAGAGCCUGCCGCACCUGGCCGCCGAGGUCCGGACGCCGCGCGCCGAGUCGGGCAACGGCAGCCGCAAUUCUCCAGACAUGUCAAAUCCACGCUUCACGCUUCAGGACCGAAUCAACUCCAUCAUGGAGUCGAAUGUGGUGCAGCGAGGAUAUGGCAAGAUACAAGGAAAAAUCGGCUCCGGCGCCGUGUCGCCAGUCCCGGAGAACGGUCGGACGGAGGGCGGUCCGGCGGCCGCCGCGCCCCCGCCGCCCCUCUCCGCGGCCGCCUCCGACGAGCGCGACAAGGAGGCGGUCGGCCGCGUGGUGGAGCGUCUGACCCGCAUCCUGGAGUCGGACGAGGGCGACGGCGGCGACUCGGGCGUGGUGGCGCUGGAGGGCGCGCUGCUCGAGGGCGCGCCGCUGGCCUUCUCGGUGACGCCGCCGCCGUUCAGCGGCACGCUCGACUCGUCCUACAUCACAGAGAUCGGCUCGCGCGUGCUCAUCACCAUCGUCAACUGGGCCAAGAGCAUCGCCGCCUUCCAGGUGCUGGCCUCGGACGUGCAGGAGAGCCUGGCGCGCGCGCGCUGGGCCGAGCUGUUCAUGCUGGCGCUGGUGCAGUGUCGCGAGGCGCUGGACCUGCCGCGGCUGCUGACGGCCGUCACACACCACCUGUCCACCUCCGUCCACGAGAGGAAGACGCCCGUCUCGCGGCUCCGACUGGUCACGCAGCACCUGUACAUGAUCCAGGAGUUUGUGGCCAGCGUGCGGCGGCUCUCGCCGUCUGCCGCCGAGCUGGCGCACCUGCGCGCCAUCGUUCUGUUCCACCCGGACGGCCAGGAGCCGGCCUCGCGCCGCCAGCUCGAGCUGUUCCAGAGCAAGGCGCUGGAGGGCCUGCGCCAGCUGACGGCCGAGCGGAGCGCAGAGCCCGACCGGCUGGAGCUGCUGCUGCUGCGGCUGCCGGCGCUGCGCGGCAUGAGCCCGCUGGCCGUCGACCACCUGUUCUUCCCGGAGAUCCCGCUGACGGGGCCCGUGUCGGCCAACCAGGCGCGAAUUGAGGAGCUGCUGCCGCACAUCAUCCGCGGAGACGCCGACGAUAUCGGCGGCACCGAACAGUCGAGCCCCAGCGGCGACUCGCCCUGCUCAGAAAACCCCUCCGAGUGAGUCGCUCCAGCUCAGAAAACCCCUCCGAGUGAGUCGCUCCAGCUCAGUGAACCCCUCCGAGUGAGUCGCCCUGCUCAGAAAACCCCUCCGAGUGAGCCGCCCGGCUCAGUGACGCGUCCAGGACUCGGAGUCCGCUCCGAGUCCGGACUCGGCGCCCGGGCCGGACCGCAGGCUGUCGUUUCGGCGCUGAUCUCCGGGUCCUGAUUCCGGCCCAGUCCGGCGGGUCGGCCGGACUCUGAGGCUGUACUGGAGUGUGUGUGGCCGUGCGAGGUCCGGUUGUCCCCCUCCGGGGCCGUUCCGGACCCGCUCGGCGAUUGAGGGAACAACGAGCCGGCGUCAGAGCUGCGGCCGGCGCCCGCUCACCGGCGGCCGGCCCUGACCCGGCACCACUGUACAAAAUGGCGCCCCCCGCUGGCGUGAUAGGUCGGCGACGACCCGCCGGCCGCGCGGUUUUUCACCCGGCGGCCCUUUUUAAACGUGAUUCGCAUUAUCCAUAUCUCGAUUUGGGCAUCAGUGCGGAACGCAGUGUCCGAGUGUUAGGCGACGUUCGUUUUUAUUCCCAUUUCGUGCAUGUUUUCUUCGAUUAUCACUCACGCGAGCGCUUGUGUUGUUUGUACAGAACAAGGGAAGUGAACAUCUUUUAUGGUCUUGUUUUGUUUUAAUGCAUAUUUUUUACACGGAAAUUGGCAGUGAAAUUUGCGGUGUUUUUAAAAUCGGUGCGUAAUUGUGCAUGUUUUCACGGUGUUCCUGCGGUCCACAGAUGGAUAUUUCUAGUCCCAGCAUGCCUACAUUUGUAUGAAGUGACUGUAAAUACAUUCAGAGAACAUCA